UACGUAGGUGGCAAGCGUUGUCCGGAAUUAUUGGGCGUAAAGCGCGCGCAGGUGGUUUCUUAAGUCUGAUGUGAAAGCCCACGGCUCAACCGUGGAGGGUCAUUGGAAACUGGGGAACUUGAGUGCAGAAGAGGAAAGUGGAAUUCCAAGUGUAGCGGUGAAAUGCGUAGAGAUUUGGAGGAACACCAGUGGCGAAGGCGACUUUCUGGUCUGUAACUGACGCUGAGGCGCGAAAGCUAGGGUAGCAAACGGG
Molecule: ribosomal RNA, 253 nt
Filed under: uncultured bacterium
Lineage: Bacteria
Description: partial 16S ribosomal RNA
Rfam family: Bacterial small subunit ribosomal RNA
Source: RNAcentral